This 253-nucleotide ribosomal RNA is filed under the name uncultured bacterium. RNAcentral's name for it is "partial 16S ribosomal RNA". It matches the Rfam family "Bacterial small subunit ribosomal RNA", at positions 524 to 776 of the family's 1533-position model. The record is from RNAcentral.
UACGUAGGGGGCAAGCGUUGUCCGGAUUUAUUGGGCGUAAAGAGCGUGUAGGCGGUUUGGUAGGUCCGUUGUGAAAACUCGAGGCUCAACCUCGAGACGCCGAUGGAAACCAUCAGUCUAGAGUCCGGAAGAGGAGAGUGGAAUUCCUGGUGUAGCGGUGAAAUGCGCAGAUAUCAGGAAGAACACCCGUGGCUAAGGCGGCUCUCUAGUACGGUACUGACGCUGAGACGCGAAAGCGUGGGGAGCGAACAGG